Molecule: ribosomal RNA, 484 nt
Filed under: uncultured bacterium
Lineage: Bacteria
Description: partial 16S ribosomal RNA
Rfam family: Bacterial small subunit ribosomal RNA
Source: RNAcentral
AUUGAACGCUGGCGGCAGGCCUAACACAUGCAAGUCGAGCGGAUGAAGGGAGCUUGCUCCUGGAUUCAGCGGCGGACGGGUGAGUAAUGCCUAGGAAUCUGCCUGGUAGUGGGGGAUAACGUCCGGAAACGGGCGCUAAUACCGCAUACGUCCUGAGGGAGAAAGUGGGGGAUCUUCGGACCUCACGCUAUCAGAUGAGCCUAGGUCGGAUUAGCUAGUUGGUGGGGUAAAGGCCUACCAAGGCGACGAUCCGUAACUGGUCUGAGAGGAUGAUCAGCCACAUUGGAACUGAGACCCGGUCCAGACUCCUCCGGGGGGCGGCAGUGGGGAAUUUGGGACAAUGGGCGAAGGUUUUACCGACCCUUCCCGGGUGUGUAAGGAAGGUUUUGGGUUUUUAAGGCAUUUUAAUUGGGGGGAAAGGAAAGUAAUUUAAUCCCUUGCUGUUUUGACGUUACCAACAAAAUAAGCCCCGGCUAACUUCGUG